Molecule: ribosomal RNA, 467 nt
Filed under: uncultured bacterium
Lineage: Bacteria
Description: partial 16S ribosomal RNA
Rfam family: Bacterial small subunit ribosomal RNA
Source: RNAcentral
ACGCACGCUGGCGGCGUGCUUAACCCCUGCAAGUCGAACGGAAAGGCCCUGCUUUUGUGGGGUGCUCGAGUGGCGAACGGGUGAGUAACACGUGAGUAACCUGCCCUUGACUUUGGGAUAACUUCAGGAAACUGGGGCUAAUACCGGAUAGGAGCUCCUGCUGCAUGGUGGGGGUUGGAAAGUUUCGGCGGUUGGGGACGGACUCGCGGCUUAUCAGCUUGUUGGUGGGGUAGUGGCUUACCAAGGCUUUGACGGGUAGCCGGCCUGAGAGGGUGACCGGCCACAUUGGGACUGAGAUACGGCCCAGACUCCUACGGGAGGCAGCAGUGGGGAAUAUUGCACAAUGGGCGGAAGCCUGAUGCAGCAACGCCGCGUGCGGGAUGACGGCCUUCGGGUUGUAAACCGCUUUCGCCUGUGACGAAGCGUGAGUGACGGUAAUGGGUAAAGAAGCACCGGCUAACUACGUG